UACAGAGGGUGCAAGCGUUAAUCGGAAUUACUGGGCGUAAAGCGUGCGCAGGCGGUUUUUCAAGUCUGAUGUGAAAGCCCCGGGCUUAACCUGGGAACUGCAUUUGUGACUGCAAGGCUAGAGUAUGGCAGAGGGGGGUAGAAUUCCACGUGUAGCAGUGAAAUGCGUAGAUAUGUGGAGGAAUACCGAUGGCGAAGGCAGCCCCCUGGGUCAAUACUGACGCUCAUGCACGAAAGCGUGGGGAGCAAACAGG
Molecule: ribosomal RNA, 253 nt
Filed under: uncultured bacterium
Lineage: Bacteria
Description: partial 16S ribosomal RNA
Rfam family: Bacterial small subunit ribosomal RNA
Source: RNAcentral